Molecule: ribosomal RNA, 283 nt
Filed under: uncultured Methanosaeta sp.
Lineage: Archaea; Methanobacteriati; Methanobacteriota; Methanomicrobia; Methanotrichales; Methanotrichaceae
Description: partial 16S ribosomal RNA
Rfam family: Archaeal small subunit ribosomal RNA
Source: RNAcentral
GCCCACAGUUGCCAGCGUACUCUCUGGAGUGACGGGUACACUGUGGGGACCGCCGCUGCUAAAGCGGAGGAGGAAUGGGCAACGGUAGGUCAGUAUGCCCCGAAUAUCCCGGGCUACACGCGAGCUACAAUGGUUGGUACAAUGGGUAUCUACCCCGAAAGGGGACGGGAAUACUCCUAAAACCAAUCUUAGUUCGGAUUGAGGGCUGCAACUCGCCCUCAUGAAGCUGGAAUCCGUAGUAAUCGCGUUUCAACAGAACGCGGUGAAUACGUCCCUGCUCCUU